This 370-nucleotide unclassified non-coding RNA is filed under the name Chytridiomycota sp. Its description in RNAcentral is "partial contains small subunit ribosomal RNA, internal transcribed spacer 1, and 5.8S ribosomal RNA". The stretch from base 1 to 47 matches the Rfam family "Eukaryotic small subunit ribosomal RNA", at positions 1785 to 1831 of the family's 1831-position model. The record is from RNAcentral. Lineage: Eukaryota; Fungi; Chytridiomycota.
AAAGUCGUAACAAGGUAACCGUAGGUGAACCUGCGGUUGGAUCAUUAAAAAGUUUGAAAAGGGCUAUGUCAAGGAUGCUUUUAGUUUAGUUCAUUUUUGGCCGUUUCGUUCAUUCAUUCGUUCAUUCUGAUACUGUUUUUUCAGCAUCUUUGACUUAGUCCCUAAUCAAAAACCAACCCUGUGUGAACUGUUUUGUCUCUGGCGGCUGGGUAGGGAUAUACUUUGUGUAACUCUAUCUGUCAGCUUAGUCUCAUCUGAGCCGUGGACAACCCGCCAAACAAUACUGAACAAACUUAGCUAAUUUUUUCUGUCUAAUAUCUGAUUUGUAUAAAUGUACAAACAACUUUUGGCAACGGAUCUCUUGGCUCUC